This 512-nucleotide ribosomal RNA is filed under the name uncultured bacterium. RNAcentral describes it as "bacterial SSU rRNA". It matches the Rfam family "Bacterial small subunit ribosomal RNA", at positions 45 to 509 of the family's 1533-position model. The record is from RNAcentral.
UGCCUAAGACAUGCAAGUCGUACGAAGUAGCCCAAAGAAGUGGAGUGCUUGCACGAAGCGGACUUGAAUCACUACUUAGUGGCGGAAGGGUGAGUAACACGUGGGUAAUCUGCCUCAGAGACUGGGAUAACUACUAGAAAUGGUAGCUAAUACCGGAUGAGAGAUAGAAAGAUACGUUUUUUCUAUAGUAAAAGAAGCCUUUAAAGCUUCACUUUGAGAUGAGCCUGCGGCGUAUUAGCUAGUUGGUGGGGUAAAGGCCUACCAAGGCGACGAUGCGUAGCCGACCUGAGAGGGUGAUCGGCCACACUGGGACUGAGACACGGCCCAGACUCCUACGGGAGACAGCAGUUAGGAAUAUUCGUCAAUGGGGGGAACCCUGAACGAGCAAUGCCGCGUGAACGAAGAAGGUCCUCUGGAUUGUAAAGUUCCUGUUGUUAGGGACGAACGACCAGUAUAGGAAAUGAUACUGGAGUGACGGUACCUUUCAAGAAAGCUCCGGCUAACUACGUGCC